Molecule: non-coding RNA, 630 nt
Organism: Macaca mulatta (Rhesus monkey)
Lineage: Eukaryota; Metazoa; Chordata; Mammalia; Primates; Cercopithecidae
Source: RefSeq, a predicted model, not a curated record
CCGGCCCAGGGCAGUGAGCGGCUCACCACCCCGGUCAGCAGCUACAGAGGAUGCGCCGGGUCCCCCAGCAGUGCCGGCCCACUGGCGCUGCGCUGGAGUUCUCGCCGAGCCUCAGCUGCCUCCCCGCGGGGCAGGGCUCGGGACCUGCAGCCCACCGUCCCCGAACCCCCCCACCCCUCCCUGCGGUGGGCUCCUGCGCGGCCCGAGCCUCCUCGAUGAGCGCCGCCCCCUGCUCCACGGCGCUAGGUCCGGUCAACCAUCCAGGACCUGAGAAACGCAAGUGCACGGCGCGGGAUUAAGCCGGCAGCUCUGGCCCCGACCACUCUGCGGUAUGCACUAAAUGAGGCCAGCUAGGUUCCUGAGUCUGGUGGUCCAUAUAACAUCCCACCCAUCUAGAUUGGGGCUGCCUCGGUGUGAGAACCUGGCUCCACUGAGGAACAAAGUGAAUGGAGAAAAAUAAAGUUGAUUUCCAUGGGGCACAUCUGUCCCUUACCAAGAAGACCAGGCCAAGGAACACCAGGAGGAGAAUCACAGCCACCAGGACCACAACAACUAUGGCCCAUGCAGGGAAUGAAUCAUUCUCCCCAAUCUGUCCAGCGUGGAUACCUUUCUGUGAGUCAUCUUUAUUGA